Corapipo altera (White-ruffed manakin) is the source of this 2008-nucleotide long non-coding RNA. RefSeq lists it as uncharacterized. The transcript is spliced from 7 exons. The record is from RefSeq and is a predicted model, not a curated record. Lineage: Eukaryota; Metazoa; Chordata; Aves; Passeriformes; Pipridae.
CCACAGCCCUGUUUCCAGUGCUGCAGGAAUACCAAGUAUUUCCAGCAACAUGCAGGAGGGUGUUUCAAAUGAGGAAUAGUCAACCUCUUGCUGCUUGUGCUUUCUGCUCCUACUAAUCACUGCUUUAUUCUCCCUUGUGCAAAAAAAAGUUACAUUUGAUAUCAGCAAGUGGUUGGCUCCAGCCUCAGUGUCUUCAACAGGCUGCCAGACGAGCUCUGCCCUGGAGUGAACCUGCCAGGUGGGGCACAAGCCAGAGGUACCAAAGAAAUUUUAAUCGAUCAGCAGGGGAUCAUGUUCUCUUGGACACCCAGGAGCGCUGGAUAAUGAAGUGCUGGGCUAAAGGAGGCACAACCAUUCUGUCACAGCACUGCAAAAUGCCCCACAAACAUCACCCACAAACCCAGGCAGCAUCAGUGGUGGUUUCCUUACAUGGACUCACCUUCCCUCUCUGACUCUGUACCCACCAGAGGAGACAGGAGGUAGGAGACUCCUGAGAACCCGAAAUGCAGGAGCUGAAGCUGAAGGUUGAAGUGUGUGGAGGUGCUCAGCUAUUGCAGGACGGUCUGAGGUGUUUAACCUCAGUCUGCACAUCUGAUGCUCUCCAAAAAGCGCUGAAGACUGAGCCCUCUGUCCCUCUCUGAGACCUUCUUUGCUCUCAAGUGCCCAAAAAUACACAUUUCUGGUAAGGAGAAGAGAAACACACACCCCCCCCCCCCCCGCCCUCCCUCCAAGUUGCUGCAUCGGGAUGGUGACAGAUUUCAACAGUAAAAGCCAAGAGCAGAGCAAAUCUGACAGGACUGGCAGCAUCCCAUGGGGAACCAGCUGUGCCCAAAACACCAAAAUCAUCAUCUCAAGCUUUUCUGCAGGCACCUGUGGAACCCCCUCGGCCAAGAGGCGUCAGCGCUGUGUGGUGCCACCAGGGCGAGUUGAGGUGUUCAGGCUGUUUAAGGCCAUCAGAUAACGAGAGAUCAAUGGCUGUGCAAUUACAGAUGAACAAGAGACAGUGAUAUGGUGGUGGUGUUGCUUUGUCAGUGAGUAAAGAGAGAAGAUGAGCCAGGAAGCAAUGGAGGAGCCUCUGGACCCUGCAUGGGGAAUUGGAGAUCUCAGCCACGGAUUCUCAGAGAACAAAUAAACAGGGGAAAAUCUCCCAAGAGCUGAAGCCUUAUUAGGAUCUUGAAAGCAAAUCAAGUUUUCACAAGAGUGAGAUGCAUUGCCAGUGAAAAGAUCCAAACAUCUCCCUGGAAAUAGUCCCAGAGGCUGCAGUGAAAUCCCAGUGGCUGAGUGAGGAGGAUGGUCAUGCACCAUGCUGAGCAAGGUGAGGACGUGGCACAGGCAGGGAAUGCUGGCAGUGGAGGAGCACAGGGAGGUAUCAGAAGCACUCAAGUGCUAUAUCCCAAGGACAGGAAUUGCCUCCUGGCCAUUGAUAAGGUUAGGUCUUGGCGGUCCUGUUUGGAAAAGCAAAGCUCUGGGAGCUGUUUUGCCAAUGCAUUCUGCAGAGGCACAAAGGUGGGGAGGGGGCAGAGCCAACAGGUACAAGACUUCAGGAGAGCAGGUGUGGAGGGACGAAGGAUCUUAAAUUCUCCUUUUCUGCAUUAAGGUCAGAGUUUGGAGGUCUAUUAAUCCAGGACCCUGCUAUAUAAUUCAAAUCCACAUGGCCUGUAGGUUUGGGGAACAAGUUGGGAAGACCCCAGGGCACUUUGACAUUGCUUAAGUUUGUGGAUUUAAUGAGUGGGCUGGUAGGGAUGAUGGACAGUGUCUGAUUCUCUGUGCUGGUGUUUAAACUCAUGUUUGGGCUAAGGCUCAGCAACCCAAAGGUCGAGAAGACUAAUUUAUUGCUGUAUGGUGCAGGGCCAUUGGAGAUUCACUGUCACUUGGGGAAUACAGGAGAGUUGGAAUAGGGAGUCAAAGGCAGCUGCAUCCAGUGUGCCAAAGGUUGGGAGAGCUAGCAAAGGACUGGUGCCAUUUGCAGCCUCUGCACUGCAGGUGUUUGGUCUCAGUAGCCAGAGGA